AUGGCUGAGCAGUAAAGCGCUUGGCUUCCGAACCGGGCGUCCCGGGUUCGAAUCCUGGU
Non-coding RNA from Biomphalaria glabrata, 59 nucleotides. The record is from Rfam. Lineage: Eukaryota; Metazoa; Mollusca; Gastropoda; Planorbidae.